CCCUGCCCUCCCCGCGCCC
This 19-nucleotide unclassified non-coding RNA is filed under the name Chlamydomonas reinhardtii. RNAcentral's name for it is "small RNA Cre_1072". Lineage: Eukaryota; Viridiplantae; Chlorophyta; Chlorophyceae; Chlamydomonadales; Chlamydomonadaceae. The record is from RNAcentral.